CAGUUUCAAACUAGUGGCGAUAAAUGGGCAUUGACCAUCAAAGUUAUGAAUGCCUGGUGGAAAAUGCGGAAGAAGUCUUUGAAGAUUGGCGGCACAAAGUGCUCUCUCUGUCAAUGGGGACAGUCCUCUUCAUGACUCAUUUAACUUGCAAUUGGAACGGAUUUGCGGUGGGAAACAAAGUGGUGAUGGAUUCUGUUCACCUGGUAUGGAGAAGCGGCAGAUAUUUUUGAUGUGUCGUCAAUCGUUCGCGGUUCGUUUGUUGCCUGUUUGAUGAUUGGUUGUUGGCCAAGUUUGUUUGCCAGCUGUUUGUUUCUUUCAGCCAUCCAUUCAUUCUCUUGACCCCAAUUGAUUUGUUGAAUUGGAGAAGCCAUAACUAAAUGGUAAGUUGACUUAUUGAGGCUUGGAAAAAAUCUCUUCAAGUUCUAUUGUUCACAAAUUGUUUUGGCCACAGGCAAUCAAAUAUUACAAUUUCCCCGCUACAUUUGUAUUACGAUGCUGUGAACCUUAAUUGGCUUUUUGAAGCUGUUUUCAUUAGAGCUGAGAGUUAUGCUUAUUGACAAUUUGUUUGCAUUA
Long non-coding RNA from Musca domestica (house fly), 573 nucleotides. RefSeq lists it as uncharacterized. Lineage: Eukaryota; Metazoa; Arthropoda; Insecta; Diptera; Muscidae. The record is from RefSeq and is a predicted model, not a curated record. The transcript has 4 exons.